GACGAACGCUGGCGGCGUGCCUAAUACAUGCAAGUUGAGCGCUGAAGGUUGGUACUUGUACCAACUGGAUGAGCAGCGAACGGGUGAGUAACGCGUGGGGAAUCUGCCUUUGAGCGGGGGACAACAUUUGGAAACGAAUGCUAAUACCGCAUAAAAACUUUAAACACAAGUUUUAAGUUUGAAAGAUGCAAUUGCAUCACUCAAAGAUGAUCCCGCGUUGUAUUAGCUAGUUGGUGAGGUAAAGGCUCACCAAGGCGAUGAUACAUAGCCGACUGAGAGGGUGAUCGGCCACAUUGGGACUGAGACACGGCCCAAACUCCUACGGGAGGCAGCAGUAGGGAAUCUUCGGCAAUGGACGAAAGUCUGACCGAGCAACGCCGCGUGAGUGAAGAAGGUUUUCGGAUCGUAAAACUCUGUUGGUAGAGAAGAACGUUGGUGAGAGUGGAAAGCUCAUCAAGUGACGGUAACUACCCAGAAAGGGACGGCUAACUACGUG
Molecule: ribosomal RNA, 496 nt
Filed under: uncultured bacterium
Lineage: Bacteria
Description: partial 16S ribosomal RNA
Rfam family: Bacterial small subunit ribosomal RNA
Source: RNAcentral